RNAcentral lists this unclassified non-coding RNA (882 nucleotides) under Eurytemora carolleeae. RNAcentral describes it as "major facilitator superfamily domain-containing protein 12-like". The record is from RNAcentral. Lineage: Eukaryota; Metazoa; Arthropoda; Copepoda; Calanoida; Temoridae.
GAAUAAUGAAUAUGUUGAAAAGCAGUGAUUUAUCCUGGAGUACAAUCCUAGGAUAUGGCGUUGGUCAUAUUUUUAAUGAUAUAUGUGCAUCAAUGUGGUUCACCUAUUUACUACUUUUUUUUCAAAAGGUUUUAUAUUUUCAAACAGUGGAUAGUGGAGUUCUGUUACUGGUUGGACAAAUAGCAGAUGGAAUAUCUACGACUAUUGUUGGAAUAUUGGCGAGCAAACUAUCAAAUUUAUUCUUUUGCAGAAAAUAUGGCGGGAGAAAAUCUUGGCAUCUGAUUGGCUCUGCUUGUGUUCUGGUCAGCUUUCCAUUCAUUUUCUUGCCUUGCAUAGGAUGCGAAACCGCCCUACGAGGAACCCAGAUGUUCUACUAUAGUUGUUUUAUCAUCCUGUUCCAGUUUGGCUGGGCGUGUGUUCAAAUAUCUCAUUUAGCAUUGGUCACUCAACUUUCAGAUAAAGGAGAGACGAGAACAUUGUUGACCUCCCUCCGAUAUCUUGGAACUGUGGUUGCUAAUGUACUUGUCUACGCUGUAACCUGGCUAUUUUUUGGUCUUGAAGGAGGAAACAAUGACAUAUCAUCCAAGGACUCAGAAAAAUUCAGAAAUGUUAUGUUGGUUGGAGUAGGAGUGGGAUGUGUUACCACUGCUCUCUUUCAUAUUUUAGUUAGGGAACCAGACACAAGAAGUUUUCAACAAGAGAGAACAUGCAGAUCUUUGUUAAGACCCUGACGGGUAAGACCAUCACCCUCGAGGUUGAGGCUAGUGACUCCAUCGAAAACGUUAAGGCCAAGAUCCAGGAUAAGGAGGGAAUCCCUCCAGAUCAGCAGAGAUUGAUCUUCGCUGGAAAGCAGCUGGAGGAUGGAAGAACUCUAUCCGAUUA